Molecule: long non-coding RNA, 915 nt
Organism: Daphnia pulicaria
Lineage: Eukaryota; Metazoa; Arthropoda; Branchiopoda; Diplostraca; Daphniidae
Exons: 2
Source: RefSeq, a predicted model, not a curated record
CCACGAUGUAUCAGGAGAGGUGGGCAAACGCAGUAGGGCGCCCCCUCUGAAAACUGUGCCAACUUUCUGAAAUUGUUUACACUUCUGCCGCUAGGUUCUCUAGUGUUAGUGGCCCUGGAAUUUGGCGCGAAUUCUCUGACGUGAAGCGUCUGCCAUUGUUGAUAGUAGAUCUUUAGAUUCCAUUUCGUUGUUUCAUUUUAUAAUUUCAAUCUUUAAGUUGUGGUGAUGUGUUUUUGAUAAAUCGUGUGGUGAAAUGGUGAAGUGUUUCGUGGUUGGAUGUUCUACGGGAUACAAAUCAGCAAAAGAAAAUGAUGCCAAGGUAUUUAAACCACCCAAAGAAGAAAGGCAAUUCAUUUUAUGGGGGAAAAAAAUUGAAAGAAGUGACAGAAAAUUUUCUAUAAAAGAUCAUGUGUGUUCUAGACAUUUUAAAGAAGAAUUCAUCAUCAAGAACUCUGUAAAUGGUGGGGCCUCCCUGAGUUGCUGGGUAAUGAGAGAUAUGAUGCCAUACCAACCCAUUUUCUUGGUUACAAAGAUGGGGUAGCCCCAAACAAAAAGUAUCGUAAACAAACAACCUCUCCAUUAUCAAACAAUGGAUGCCAUAAACAACCAGAAGAGAAACUUGAUGAUCGAACAACAUCUGAUGUAAACAGUGCUGAAGUCACUCUUCCUGGAGAGAAUAGUCUUGAACACAAAACCCCAGAAACAGGAGUUGAAAAUUUUGUCGAAACCCAACAUGAAGAAAUUAUCACUUCUGACACUUCUGUGGAAACCCAACGUGAAGAAAACAUCACUCCUGACACUUCUAUAGAAACCCAACAUGAAGAAAACAUCACUUCUGACACUUCUGACGGGAAACAUACUGCAGACACUGCUGAAGUUAUCACAGCCAUGGAUUGUGAUGAUUCAACAAUUAUU